CCGCCGCCAUGUUCCGCCGGGCCGCCGCCGCCCGGCGCCUGUAGCCGCCCCCGCCCGCCCCGCCGCGCCCCGCCAGCCGCCGGCGGACGGGCGGACGAAGGCGCUGCCGCGCCCAGCACAGCCGCCGGAGCCCGGCAGCGCCCAGCGAUGUCCGCCAAGGAGGGGAGCAAGGUGCUGCUGCUGACGCCCCACGCCACCAGCGAGCGCGCCGUCAAGGCUGUCCCUUUUCCACCAACGCAUCGCUUAACGUCUGAAGAAGUGUUUGACACAGAUGGAAGACCAAGGGUUGACAUUUUGAAGAACCACUUGAUAAAAGAAGGUCGAGUGGAUGAAGAAAUUGCACUUAGAAUCAUCAAUGAGGGUGCUGCAAUAUUACGGAGGGAAAAAACUAUGAUAGAAGUUGAAGCUCCAAUUACAGUGUGUGGUGAUAUUCAUGGCCAGUUCUUUGAUCUAAUGAAGCUGUUUGAAGUGGGAGGAUCACCUGCUAACACAAGAUACCUCUUCCUCGGUGACUAUGUAGACAGAGGUUAUUUUAGUAUAGAGUGUGUGCUGUACUUAUGGGUCCUGAAAAUUCUCUACCCAAGCACAUUAUUUCUUUUGAGAGGCAACCAUGAAUGCAGACACCUAACAGAGUAUUUUACCUUUAAGCAAGAAUGUAAAAUAAAGUACUCCGAAAGAGUCUAUGAUGCUUGUAUGGAAGCUUUUGAUUGUCUCCCUCUUGCUGCUCUCUUAAAUCAACAGUUUCUUUGUGUUCAUGGUGGACUUUCACCAGAAAUUAAUACACUAGAUGACAUUAGGAGAUUAGAUAGAUUCAAAGAGCCUCCAGCAUUUGGACCAAUGUGUGACUUAUUGUGGUCAGAUCCGUCAGAAGAUUUUGGAAAUGAAAACUCACAAGAGCAUUUCAGUCACAAUACAGUCAGAGGAUGCUCAUACUUUUAUAGCUAUCCAGCAGUUUGUGAAUUUUUGCAAAAUAAUAAUUUGUUGUCAAUCAUUAGAGCACAUGAAGCACAAGAUGCAGGUUAUAGAAUGUACAGGAAAAGUCAAACUACAGGGUUCCCAUCAUUAAUAACAAUUUUUUCAGCACCUAAUUACCUGGAUGUCUACAAUAAUAAAGCUGCUGUAUUAAAAUAUGAAAACAAUGUGAUGAAUAUUCGUCAGUUCAAUUGUUCUCCUCAUCCUUACUGGCUACCAAAUUUUAUGGAUGUUUUCACAUGGUCUUUGCCAUUUGUUGGAGAAAAAGUAACAGAAAUGUUGGUGAAUGUUUUGAGCAUUUGCUCUGAUGAUGAACUGAUGACAGAGGGAGAAGAUCAAUUUGACGAGCGACUCAUAUAUGGCAAUAAAAAAGUAGGUACAGCUGCCGCACGGAAAGAAAUAAUCAGAAACAAAAUUCGUGCAAUCGGCAAGAUGGCGAGAGUCUUCUCUGUUCUCAGGGAGGAGAGUGAAAGUGUGCUGACACUCAAGGGUUUGACUCCCACUGGAAUGUUACCUAGUGGAGUGUUGGCUGGAGGACGACAGACCCUGCAAAGUGAUGCAUUCUAAUUGGAGACUCUUCUCAAAGUUUGAGUGCAGAAGAUAAAGUUAAAUAUGGUGGAGUCUGGAGCUGUCUCUAAUUCUUGUAUUGUUUGGGAGAAGAAAUUAUAUCCUUCCUCCCAGAAAACUUUCUUAUCAGAUACUUGGAGUCUGAAGAAGGACAAGCACCUAAACCUCUACAUCAUAACCAUUAAUCAGGGACAGCCAUCCCUUUUGGAUGCAGCACCUGCAGAGCUGGUUCUCAUGAGCCCUUCAGUUCCUUUGUCAAGAAAGGGGGCAGGAUGUAAACAGCACACAGACCUCAACAGCUAAAAGUAACAAAGUGUUUGACUACUCUCAUAGUGAAAAGCCUUCCUCCCUGAGGACACACAGUGCUGAGCCACAUUUGACUUGUCAGCUAUCAGAACAUACUGGAAAUCUGCUCCUUCUAUCCCACAUAAGGAACAGGUGAGCUCAGCUUAGCUUGCUCUCUGUGAAUCAUUAGGAGCUCACCUCCUCUUACAGGACUUUUAAGAGCUUAGAACCUUGGAAACUUCUGCCUCUACUGCACAAACAGUGUUUUCAAAUGUUACAGGGUGAGAACUUACAAGAGGUGUUGGGGUUUUCCUUUGGAAUCCAGGUUAUAAAGCCUAAAUGACUAAAUCUGGACCACUGACUCAAGACUGAAGACCUAUUACAUGUUUUAAAUAAAAAGAACAAGUCAAAUAUCUGUAUACCUUUGUUUUGCUAUAUGUAUGAUUUAGCAGCCAUACCACAAAGGCUGCUAUUAGCAUUAACAUACAUUAGAAAUAUUUACUUGAACGACCUGGAUCUCUAAGGAAAACCCUGUAAGGUAAAUGUCAUAUAAUUGAUCUUAAAAAUCAUAUAUUUAAAACCACCUUCAUAAUGAAGCAUAAUAUAUGGACUCAUCACUCACUUGCUGGGAAUCAUCUUCACUGACUACUUUUAGGAAUACGGGUCACACAUUACAUACAGUACACAUUCAGUCUUGACCUCAGAAAACAGAAAUAAAGUGCAGACAGUAAGGCCUAGCUCAAAUGUUCUCCUUGGGUUUGGUUGCCCCAAGAUUUCUAUCCCUAAAUUACUAUGUCCAGGCUAUAUAAUAUUCUUUUCCCCAGAGGUACACUCUGAUAUUUCUCUGCCAGACAAAAGAUUUUAAUGGAAUUUAGAUUCACAAUUCCAAAAUUAGGAUCCUCAAAAGCCCUGCCCAGGUAACUAUCAGUACUGCAGAAGAAAAUUUCACAUAGGUUUUUUUAACUGACUGUCACUUUAGCAUCACCAGUGAGACUAGGAAAUCUAGAAUUGUUGAUACCAAAUCUAAGAGGUCUUUUAAAUUAAUCCAUUGAAAUUGGUUAUGUUUUAGACGCUAGCUAAGGAAAAAAUAUUUUCAGAUGUAGUUAAAAAUAAACUACAGCUACAAUCAUGAGGGUUCAGCAGAACCUUGAGGGGAGAAGAGAAAUCUUGGAUUUAAUAAAGUCUUGUUUCUAACAUGUUUGUCUUUAGUUUGACUGACUUUAGUGUUUCAGAGGGAGUAAGGGUAAAUUGUGAAGCAAAACCAUCAGAGAAUUUAUUGCAUGUAUUCAUACACAUAUAUUUAUACAUUGCAUGUAUUUAUACCUUUUCAGUAUUUUAAUAGCAUUCAGGCUGAGCUCCAUGCUUAAAUCUAGUUCUGUACUACAUAAAACACAAGUAAUAUUCACACAAUUACAGGGCCACGAAAGUGCCAUGAGUGCCAUGAUCAGUGCCAUAAAAGCACACAGAUGAAUCUAGCUUUGAAAAAUGAUGCAGGCAUAUCAAAAACACUGCAGUAUCAGCCACACCUGAUACAUUUCAGCCUUCCAUUAAGUUUCAUUUAAAUUUUUAGUCUAUUCAAUUGUGAGCUGAAAGUGAAACAGUCCUGUGGCUGAAGGAUAGAGGGUCCAAGUCAAGAUACAGUGUCCUCUAUCCUCAGAAGAAUAUUUACGUGGUGUCAUAUGAAAGCUGGGCUGCUUGAGUAAAGCAUUCCAAGCUCUUCCUGAGAGCUGUGACCACUGAAGUUUGUUCAGCAUCUCUGUAAAUCCUGGGAUACGGAUAAGCAAGUAUUUGGUAGAGAGAGGUUCAGAGAUUACCUCUGACUCUGUAUGUAAAGACCCUCAUAUUUAUAGAAGAAACUUUAAGAAAAAAAAAAAA
RNA transcript from Chiroxiphia lanceolata (lance-tailed manakin), 3699 nucleotides. It is a transcript of the gene named protein phosphatase 3 catalytic subunit beta, with no coding region annotated. NCBI's taxonomy places the organism in Eukaryota, Metazoa, Chordata, Aves, Passeriformes, Pipridae. The record is from RefSeq and is a predicted model, not a curated record. The transcript is spliced from 17 exons.